Molecule: ribosomal RNA, 497 nt
Filed under: uncultured bacterium
Lineage: Bacteria
Description: partial 16S ribosomal RNA
Rfam family: Bacterial small subunit ribosomal RNA
Source: RNAcentral
GAUGAACGCUGGCGGCGUGCCUAAUACAUGCAAGUCGAGCGAACGGACGAGAAGCUUGCUUCUCUGAUUUUAUCGGCGGACGGGUGAGUAACACGUGGAUAACCUACCUAUAAGACUGGGAUAACUUCGGGAAACCGGAGCUAAUACCGGAUGAUAUUUUGAACCUCAUGGUUCACAAGUUAAAGACGGUCUUGCUGUCACUUAUAGAUGGAUCCGCGCUGCAUUAGCUAGUUGGUAAGGUAACGGCUUACCAAGGCAACGAUGCAUAGCCGACCUGAGAGGGUGAUCGGCCACACUGGAACUGAGACACGGUCCAGACUCCGACGGGAGGCAGCAGUAGGGAAUCUUCCGCAAUGGGCGAAAGCCUGACGUAGCAACGCCGCGUGAGUGAUGAAGGUCUUCGGAUCGUAAAACUCUGUUAUUAGGGAAGAACAUAUGUGUAAGUAACUGUGCACAUCUUGACGGUACCUAAUCAGAAAGCCACGGCUAACUACGUG